AUGUUGGGUUAAGUCCCGUAACGAGCGCAACCCUUGUCCUUAGUUACCAGCACGUUAUGGUGGGCACUCUAAGGAGACUGCCGGUGACAAACCGGAGGAAGGUGGGGAUGACGUCAAGUCAUCAUGGCCCUUACGGCCUGGGCUACACACGUGCUACAAUGGUCGGUACAAAGGGUUGCCAAGCCGCGAGGUGGAGCUAAUCCCAUAAAACCGAUCGUAGUCCGGAUCGCAGUCUGCAACUCGACUGCGUGAAGUCGGAAUCGCUAGUAAUCGUGAAAUCAGAAUGUCACGGUGAAUACGUUCCCGGGCCUU
RNAcentral lists this ribosomal RNA (312 nucleotides) under uncultured Pseudomonas sp. Its description in RNAcentral is "bacterial SSU rRNA". It matches the Rfam family "Bacterial small subunit ribosomal RNA", at positions 1072 to 1382 of the family's 1533-position model. Lineage: Bacteria; Pseudomonadati; Pseudomonadota; Gammaproteobacteria; Pseudomonadales; Pseudomonadaceae. The record is from RNAcentral.